Molecule: ribosomal RNA, 253 nt
Filed under: uncultured bacterium
Lineage: Bacteria
Description: partial 16S ribosomal RNA
Rfam family: Bacterial small subunit ribosomal RNA
Source: RNAcentral
UACGUAGGGUGCGAGCGUUAAUCGGAAUUACUGGGCGUAAAGCGUGCGCAGGCGGUGAUGUAAGACCGAUGUGAAAUCCCCGGGCUUAUCCUGGGAACUGCAUUGGUGACUGCAUCGCUCGAGUAUGGCAGAGGGGGGUAGAAUUCCACGUGUAGCAGUGAAAUGCGUAGAGAUGUGGAGGAAUACCGAUGGCGAAGGCAGCCCCCUGGGUCAAUACUGACGCUCAUGCACGAAAGCGUGGGGAGCAAACAGG